AGCAAUACAUGGCGGCGACCGGCGAAAGGGUGAGUAACGCGUGAGCAACGUGCCCGUAUGUGGGGGAUAGUCGAUGGAAACGUCGCGUAAUACCCCGUAACACAUUUCCCCGCAUGAGGAGAUGUUGAAAGAUUUAUUGCAUACGGAUCGGCUCGCGUGCCAUUAGGUAGACGGCGGGGUAACGGCCCACCGUGCCGACGAUGGCUAGGGGUUCUGAGAGGAAGGUCCCCCACAUUGGAACUGAGACACGGUCCAGACUCCUACGGGAGGCAGCAGUGAGGAAUAUUGGACAAUGGCCGGAAGGCUGAUCCAGCCAUGCCGCGUGCGGGAGGACGGCCCUAUGGGUUGUAAACCGCUUUUGCGGGGGAGCAAUAAGGUCCACGUGUGGGCCGAUGAGAGUACCCCGCGAAUAAGCAUCGGCUAACUCCGUGCCAGCAGCCGCGGUAAUACGGAGGAUGCAAGCGUUAUCCGGAUUUAUUGGGUUUAAAGGGUGCGUAGGCGGUUUGCUAAGCGGGAGGUGAAAUGCCGGCGCUCAACGUCGGAAGUGCCUCCCGAACUGGUGGACUGGAAUGACUCUGCCGUGGGAGGAAUGUGUAGUGUAGCGGUGAAAUGCUUAGAGAUUACACAGAACACCGAUUGCGAAGGCAUCUCACGAAGGGUGAU
RNAcentral lists this ribosomal RNA (663 nucleotides) under Bacteroidetes bacterium P2. Its description in RNAcentral is "bacterial SSU rRNA". It matches the Rfam family "Bacterial small subunit ribosomal RNA", at positions 78 to 740 of the family's 1533-position model. Lineage: Bacteria; Pseudomonadati; Bacteroidota. The record is from RNAcentral.